RNA transcript from Ornithodoros turicata, 4882 nucleotides. RefSeq lists it as uncharacterized. NCBI's taxonomy places the organism in Eukaryota, Metazoa, Arthropoda, Arachnida, Ixodida, Argasidae. The record is from RefSeq and is a predicted model, not a curated record. The transcript is spliced from 6 exons.
CAUAAGAAAAGCAACUGGGAACGAGAUUACAGGAAGUGACGUCAUUUCUCAGCGUGAGGCAAGGCGGGUCGUUUUUUUUGAAUAGAUGCCGUAAGUUUUUUGUCUUUAUUUGAAAUAAUUUAGCGUUUUUAUUGAAAAUAACUGCUUAAUAUCGAUAGAUUAGUCGUUCCUCUACCUGCUGCAACUGUUUUUCUUUAUUUAUACACGAUUAAACUAUAGUUAACACGAUUUUGCUGCAUGUCGUCCCCAGCGACGGAUUAUUAUGCUUUUGUCAUUUUUCCUAGUCUAGUCCUCAUAUCACGGAACACACUGACGCCAAAUAUCAAUUGAUUAGUGCAUUCUGCGUCUAAAUACAUCUACUUCUCUUCAUAUAUCCACUGUUUUAUUACAGGAUUCCCCUUACUUCACGUUUUCUGAAGGAGCACAGAAUCCACGGCUACAUGCGCACACUAAGCAAUGCUAUAUUGUCUCUAAAUACGUUACCAAGACCAUUUCAGAAAUUGAACUCAUUUAAUUUGACUAAUGAACUACCUCACGCGACACACCUCCUGGCCGAAGCAUUUCUUCGCAUUUCAAUGUAAAGCUCACAAGAGUGUUUUUUAAUCCAGCCUUAAUAUAACUCUACUAAAGUAGUAGGCAUUAUGGUAUAUUCCAGAAAUCAGUUUCACCUCCUUUCCCCAAUUUUUUUCAUCACUCCACUCUCACACUUAACGGCAUGACACAUCUCCCAUCCACUUACCGAUGAUUCUUUCCAAUCUUAGAAAUUUUACUCCCCCACUGACUCUAAAUAUAUUUAUGUUGUCUGUAACUAGAAAGCAUGCCCUGCCCUAGAAAUGAAUUUCAUGUCAUUUGUUCAAUUCUUUAUUUCCAGAAAUUACAUGGUUUGUCCUACAUUCCAUCCAAGCCGUCAGCAGAAAUUAUUGCCUCUUUUAAAAAUACUUCUUCACUACUCAGACUAAACAUAUAUAGGGCCUACAACUAGAAAUCAAGCUGUGCUCUAGAAAUGCAUUUAAUGCCAUUUGGUAAAUUUCUUAUGUGCAGAAAUCACACGUUUGAUCCUGCACUCCACCUCCCAAGUUGUCAUCGGAAUGUUUUGCGUAUGUUAAAAAUAUUUCUCCCGCACUCAGACUAACCAUAUUUAUAUAAUAUAGCGUACAACUAAUCAUCAUGCCUUCCCCUAGAAAUGAAUUUCAUUUCAUUCACUUCAUUUUUUAUUCACAUAAUGACCACAUUAUGAAAACACUGAGCGCGUCUGCAGAAGUUUGCGAAGUUUCUUUCCAUUUCUCCCCACUGAUAUUCAAUAGUCAAUGCAAUCAAAUUCCAUAUCCUAUAAGCAGACAUUCUGAAGCAUUCUAGAAGCAAAUUUCAUGUCAUAUGUUCAUUGCUUUACCACUCAACUUGCACAUUCCAGGGCACGACCUCCGAACCACCUGUUGAUAUUUCUUUCCAAAUUUAAAAAUAUUUUGACCUCACACACAUUCAAGGCUCAAGAAAAGUUCACGUUUUGCAGUCUUACAUGCGAAAUUUGUACUAAAAAUAUUUCAACCCCACUCAGGCCAAGGGCGUAUCAUCUCUCCGAACCACCUGCCGAUGUUUCUUUCCAAUGUUCAAAAUAUUUUUACCUCACACACAUUCAAGAGCUCCGUUCUCCUUCAACUUCACAUAGGUGGAGAAAGAGCACUUUCAUGUACCUUCUUCCAAGCUGCAUCGUAGCCGGCUAGCCAAGGAACUAGGACAACAGAACCAUGUAACCAGCAAUUCCUGCAUCUCUUGUGUAUUCAUAUGGCAAUUUUAUUUCUAAUUCUAACCAAGAGACGGUGAUACUCGCACAGGACGGAAAGGAUGCUGGAGAGGUGGAAUGUUCUCGAUGGCGUCACAUGGUGUGUUCUUACUCCUCUAGUAGAGGAGACUUCCUCAACCUCAGGACCAUCAGGAGGAGAUGGCUUCCUCAACAUACAAGCGAGCGCACAUUUCUGGCUCCACGCGUGGCCACUGCCGUUACAACUGACUAACUGUCACGCCUUUGCAGGCCGCCAAUGGUCAUUUUUUUUCUUGCACGUUGCCUACAUUGUGAAACACUUGGACCAUUGUAGUGGAUGACAGGAACAUAUGAAGUCCUAUAAUUUGCGGUGUUCACUCUAGAGGUGUCACCCGAUGAAGUGUGCCGCUUUCACUAUUACGAAUAAUCUUGACUGAUUCGUAGUCCUCAAAGUUGAUAGUUUUACACUGUUGGUGUUCAUGUGGGGCAAACAGGCACCUCAGGCAUCAUUGCUGUUGUUUGACCUCUCUCUUUUAUAGACUUGGGCUGCACAAAUGGAAUCCUGUGGAUCAAACAGAUGGAAUGUUCAGAAUCUGGCUGUCCACUGUUGAGAUAAACCUAGUCACUUCUGAAACGAAGAAGGCCACAAAACGAGAUGAUUUGUCUUUCAACACAGUGCAUGGGUAUCAUUAUAUAUGUUCAGACUGACGACCACAAUGCAAUAUUUACUAACACCUUUUUUUUUCAUGUAUAUAUAUAUAUAUAUAUAUGUGUGUGCUCCAUACUGCACAAUGAUUCUCACAAGGGUUCCACGUAGCUUCACAAUCUCUUAGUUUUUCUUUACAUCGAGCCAGGAGUGGAUUAAAAAUUGGUACGAUGUUAAUAUAAGCAGCACACAAAAAUAUUUCCAAAUUAGGUUCACAUGUACAAAACUGCACAACGUGAAUUGAAAAGAAUGUGGAAAAAAUGAAGAAAUUGAGCCUAUUAGAGAGCAAAAAAUACAGCACAAGUGUACAACAUGUGGAAUGAAAACACAUGCACACAUAACCAGUUCUUGAAUUGCUUGACGAUGGUACCGGGAAGGCGGUUCCACUACGACAUACGAGGAAGAAAUGAAUUCAGAAAUGACUUCCUUGAACAUCAGGGAAUACCCACUUUCUACAGGUGAUCGGCACGAUAUGAGAUAUAUAUAUAGCCUGCUAGACCAAAGAUUCUCUGAGGUGAUUAUUAUGAAUGAUAAUAAAUCUUGUCGAAACAAGGACUAGUUAUGUUUUGACAAGUGCAAAGUAGAAGCAGAUGGAGGAUAUGUUUCAUAGCAGUGAUACUGGCAUUGUAGUUACCAAAUAUGAACAGGCUGUCCUGCAUUGUACUGUUUCUAUUGAGUUUGAAAUGUUGAUGUAGUCGGUAUCCGACACAGAGCUGUGUUUUCCAACUUAGGAAGGGCUAGUAAUUUAUACAGUCACUAUAGUUGGAGUGGAUGAAAAAAAUUCAGAGGUGUAACCUGGAGCUCGAGAUUCGUUGGUAGUGAUGUGUUCAACAUGAGGGAGCCAGGACAGGUUAGAUGAAAUGAAAAUUAUGAGGUAUUUGUAAAGUGAUACACAGAGACCAUGGUGAUACGGAUUCAAAUGGAAUGUUAUUAAUGGAAUAAGUCACAUGCACUUUAUUAGAGCGAGAAAUUAUCACCAGAAUUUGGUUCUUUUUUUGGGGGGGAGGGUAUAUUUACAUGCUUGUCACUCAAUAUUCUGCAAUCUCGCUAGAUUUUAUGGGGGGGUCUGGAUAAAUCAUUGAUGUAAGAUCAUUUGGAAGGUUAUUAAUGUAUAGUUAUGCUUCGCUUAUCCAGAUUUCACAUAUCUGGAAAACUUGCAUUACCGAGAACGAGCCAGCUACAAUAGGACUUGGUCCCGGUUAUCCUGGAAGAAGACCAACUUUCUGAGACAUUAGCAGGUUGACUCAGUGCAUGCUGUGGGUGUGACCAGAAUUCUGUCACACAUUACUAUUGAUUGCAAUUGGUUCCCUUUGCAUGAUUUUUUGAAGUAAUCUUUUUUUUUGUUCCCUUUUCUGGAGCUAUAAAGGAGAGUUUUAAAUUUGUCUGGUUCUCCCGGAAAGGGCUAAAGAUGGGACUGUUUGGUGGCCCAUACUUUCAAAUUGGUAAAAAUUCAUGUGCCAGGGAACAAACAAAAAAGACCCAGGGAGUAGGCAGGAGUAUCAAUUUUAAGGUUUUCCCAGAAGCUUGCUUGGUUCAGUUAUCUGGUAUCCAGAUGAAAAGGGAUGACUACUGAAGUGUCUGGAUAAUGAGACACGACUGUAUAUGAGAAAGAGAAGUGGUCCAAGGACAGAAUCUUCGCGAACUCCAGAGAGGACAGGCGUUAGACUGGAUUCAUUAUCGUUCAUAGAGACAAACUGUGAGCGAUUAGUCAAGGAAUGUAUCCAAGAUAGAAUUUUAUCAUCAAUGCCAAUAUUGUGCAAUUGAUGAAAAAAAGAAAAAAAAGAGAGAGUGUGAUACGUUAUUGGAUGCCUUCGAGAAGUAAAGAAAUCUGCAGUUCAUGCAGAACUUGUGAUCCAGUGUGACAUGAAAGUCAUAAGAAAAGGGACUAGCCGCGUUUCACAACAAUUUUUUUUCUAAUACCGCGUUGAUAUGGAGAGAAGGAGGAACAGAAUUUUAGGUGUUAGAUAAUGUGCACUAGUAUUGUACAUGAAAUUAUGGGGCAAUAAUUGUUGCUCCUCUUGCACAAUGCUUGUCUCCUGAUUUAUGGAGUGGUACAGCUUGGGACAAAAGUUUACGGAACACGGCACUGGCACAUUUCUUCAUCCGAGCGGCCCCCUGUUAGAUAUUAGGAAGAGAUCGAACAAGAAACAGGUGACCGGCUAUUCUGUUAAUUUUUCAGUAUGUGUGUCUGCUCCUUUUGGCUGCCAGGGGGUCGUCCCAACAGCUAAAUGCGACACCUCGGUGUUCCGUAAACUUUUGUCCCAAGCUGUACCACCUUUCCAGUCAUGUGGAAGAAUGAUCUCUCCAAACAACAUCAGCAAUCGGCACCAGCAUGCCUUCUGUUGAACUCCCCCUUCCAAUUUUACACUAUCUUUAUCUAUGAAUUCUAAGUCCAUUAAAAGUAUGUGAUGGUUUGA